CCUACGGGUGGCAGCAGUAGGGAAUUUUCGGCAAUGGGGGGAACCCUGACCGAGCAACGCCGCGUGAACGAAGAAGUUAUUCGUAAUGUAAAGUUCUUUUAACAGGGAAGAUAGAGAAAUUUGACGGUACCUGAAGAAUAAGCUCCGGCAAACUACGAGCCAGCGGCCGAGUUAAUACGUAGGGAGCGAGCGUUAUCCGCAUUUAUUGGGCGAAAGGGGUCCGUAGAUGGCAUAGUAAGUCUUUGGUAAAAAUGCUGGGCUCAACCCAGUAGGGCAAAAGAAACUGCAAAGCUAGAGUAUGACAGAGGCAAGUGGAACUACAUGUGUAGCGGUAAAAUGCGUAAAUAUACGUAAGAACACCAGUGGCGAAGGCGGCUUGCUGGGUAAAUACUGACAUUGAGGCACGAAAGCGUGGGGAGCAAACAGGAUUAGAUACCCCAGUAGUC
This 446-nucleotide ribosomal RNA is filed under the name uncultured bacterium. Its description in RNAcentral is "partial 16S ribosomal RNA". It matches the Rfam family "Bacterial small subunit ribosomal RNA", at positions 338 to 795 of the family's 1533-position model. The record is from RNAcentral.